CAUUCACGGAGAGUUUGAUCCUGGCUCAGGACGAACGCUGGCGGCGUGCUUAACACAUGCAAGUCGAACGAUGAAGCCUUUCGGGGUGGAUUAGUGGCGAACGGGUGAGUAACACGUGGGCAAUCUGCCCUUCACUCUGGGACAAGCCCUGGAAACGGGGUCUAAUACCGGAUAACACUCUGUCCCGCAUGGGACGGGGUUAAAAGCUCCGGCGGUGAAGGAUGAGCCCGCGGCCUAUCAGCUUGUUGGUGGGGUAAUGGCCUACCAAGGCGACGACGGGUAGCCGGCCUGAGAGGGCGACCGGCCACACUGGGACUGAGACACGGCCCAGACUCCUACGGGAGGCAGCAGUGGGGAAUAUUGCACAAUGGGCGAAAGCCUGAUGCAGCGACGCCGCGUGAGGGAUGACGGCC
Molecule: ribosomal RNA, 413 nt
Filed under: Streptomyces sp. ScaeMP-e83
Lineage: Bacteria; Bacillati; Actinomycetota; Actinomycetes; Kitasatosporales; Streptomycetaceae
Also listed under: 1 other name
Description: bacterial SSU rRNA
Rfam family: Bacterial small subunit ribosomal RNA
Source: RNAcentral